CGCAUUUCGACAAAUUAUGUCUCUUCAGUGAUUUACAGCGUAAAGUUAACUCAAAUGAAGACAAGAAGAGCGUAGUAAACUACAUCUGUGAUGUGAUUUGGUCGCGAUCAGCGAUGGAGAAACUGGCGUUGGUCUAGUCUACAAAGUUGAACACAGAUUUCGACAGAAAUACAAAGGAUCUGAGAGAAUUGAUGGAGGAUAUGAUGGGUCAAGUUAACGUUAAGCUCUUAGUCAGGUUUUUGGAAAACAACGGCAUGUUCAUCAUUUGGACUAGUGGUUGUAGCCAUGCACGAGACAUUUCGAGACAGUAGGACAGAUUUAGACAAUGUGCAGGAUUUUAAUGAAGAUUCGCACCGGUACCCUGACAUGAACAUAUAAAUUUUUCGAGCUUCGAAACCAGCUUCGCUUAUGAUCAUGCCGAGUCAUAGCCGUUGUGGCAGUUGCCAGGAAACAACAGGUUAACUUAUCCUCAUAAAGUAAAUAGGUUUAUAACUCUGCCUACAUUAUUUCGUUUCUAAUAUCAUAGAAUUUUAUCUUAUAUAUUCGCCCUGCAGAAGUUGCAGACGGUAUUUAAAAGUGUAUAAACUGAAACAUCAGAACAGUAUGUUUAAUGUUUCUCUUUUAUAGCUUGAUGAAAUUCUUGUUUGUUUACAAAAUAAACUCUGUAUAAAUAUCCUA
Ostrea edulis (European flat oyster) is the source of this 678-nucleotide long non-coding RNA. RefSeq lists it as uncharacterized. Lineage: Eukaryota; Metazoa; Mollusca; Bivalvia; Ostreida; Ostreidae. The record is from RefSeq and is a predicted model, not a curated record. The transcript has 2 exons.